UACGAAGGGGGCUAGCGUUGCUCGGAAUCACUGGGCGUAAAGCGCACGUAGGCGGCUUCUUAAGUCAGGGGUGAAAUCCUGGAGCUCAACUCCAGAACUGCCUUUGAUACUGAGGAGCUUGAGUCCGGGAGAGGUGAGUGGAACUGCGAGUGUAGAGGUGAAAUUCGUAGAUAUUCGCAAGAACACCAGUGGCGAAGGCGGCUCACUGGCCCGGUACUGACGCUGAGGUGCGAAAGCGUGGGGAGCAAACAGGG
RNAcentral lists this ribosomal RNA (254 nucleotides) under uncultured bacterium. RNAcentral describes it as "partial 16S ribosomal RNA". It matches the Rfam family "Bacterial small subunit ribosomal RNA", at positions 524 to 777 of the family's 1533-position model. The record is from RNAcentral.